Molecule: long non-coding RNA, 899 nt
Filed under: Malus domestica (apple)
Lineage: Eukaryota; Viridiplantae; Streptophyta; Magnoliopsida; Rosales; Rosaceae
Description: long non-coding RNA (MDOM_LNC015863)
Source: RNAcentral
GGUUUGCAAACAAGCAGAUGCGGACUGGCUCUGUUAGGCGACAGAUAGGCAGGUUCCGCAACGCGAACAGAUAGACAGACAGGCUCCGCAAUGCGGACAGGUAGACAGACAGGCUCCGCAAUGCGGACAGGUAGACAGGCAGAUAGGCAGGCUCUGCAAUACGGGCAGACAGAGCGAGCAAUCAAGCAAGGAAACGAACAAUCUAGGCUUCAAUCAACAAGGCCCAACUAAAAGCCUUCAAACAAAUCAUAAUAGCCCAACGGAUUGUGGGCUCCAUACUUUUUUCUUUUUUCCUUUUUCCUGUUUUCUUUUUCUAUUUUUUCCUUUCUUUUCCUUCUUCUUUCUUCGGUUCCAGUAGCAAAAUAGGCGAAAAACAUGUGCAAACCAACAUUCUGAACCAAGACUCCGAGGUGUGGUUGCAGCUUUCAGGCGAGGAAGCAAGUGACAGUUGCCAGAUUUCAGGCAAUGGGUGGAGGCGUGACUGGGUGGCUUGGCAGCGGGGUGGAUUCGAACGGCAGAUGUGCUGGGUGACGAUGCAGCGGAAGAUGUGCAGCAGGUCAGGGAACAAAGUAUCUGGAGUUGGGGUGGCAGCGGCAAUCGAAAACUGGUGUGGGUAUGGUUGUGGAUCUAGGAUCUAGUAGCGAUUCAGAACAAACCGGAGAGGAACCGACAAGGAACCGAGACAUACAAACAGAGACCAACAAACUGACAUGAACAGAGCAGAAGCAGAUUAAACCCGACGGUUCAAUCCUACUCUGAUAGCAAGUUGAAAUAAACGGACGAACAAACGAAAUAUAAUUAUGAACAUUUUAUUAAACGAGAUUCGCCGAAACGACUAUCACAAACUGACUACAUCUUUACUGACAUAUUGUUCAACGAGCAACAAAACAUCAUAUAUA